GACGAACGCUGGCGGCGUGCUUAACACAUGCAAGUCGAACGGAAAGGCCCUGCUUUUGUGGGGUGCUCGAGUGGCGAACGGGUGAGUAACACGUGAGUAACCUGCCCUUGACUUUGGGAUAACUUCAGGAAACUGGGGCUAAUACCGGAUAGGAGUUCCUGCUGCAUGGUGGGGGUUGGAAAGUUUCGGCGGUUGGGGAUGGACUCGCGGCUUAUCAGCUUGUUGGUGGGGGAGUGGCUUACCAAGGCUUUGACGGGUAGCCGGCCUGAGAGGGUGACCGGCCACAUUGGGACUGAGAUACGGCCCAGACUCCUACGGGAGGCAGCAGUGGGGAAUAUUGCACAAUGGGCGGAAGCCUGAUGCAGCAACGCCGCGUGCGGGAUGACGGCCUUCGGGUUGUAAACCGCUUUCGCCUGUGACGAAGCGUGAGUGACGGUAAUGGGUAAAGAAGCACCGGCUAACUACGUG
Molecule: ribosomal RNA, 468 nt
Filed under: uncultured bacterium
Lineage: Bacteria
Description: partial 16S ribosomal RNA
Rfam family: Bacterial small subunit ribosomal RNA
Source: RNAcentral